Molecule: transfer RNA, 81 nt
Filed under: Nematostella vectensis (starlet sea anemone)
Lineage: Eukaryota; Metazoa; Cnidaria; Anthozoa; Actiniaria; Edwardsiidae
Rfam family: tRNA
About the family: Transfer RNA (tRNA) molecules are approximately 80 nucleotides in length. Their secondary structure includes four short double-helical elements and three loops (D, anti-codon, and T loops).
Source: Rfam by way of RNAcentral
GUUGAGGUGGCCGAGUGGUUAAGGCGAUGGACUUGAAAUCCAAUGGGAUCUUCCCGCACAGGUUCGAACCUGCCCGCAACG